This 1297-nucleotide ribosomal RNA is filed under the name unidentified marine eubacterium. It matches the Rfam family "Bacterial small subunit ribosomal RNA", at positions 152 to 1460 of the family's 1533-position model. The record is from RNAcentral.
AGAAAUGAAGAUUAAUACCUUAUAGUCUAUAUAUAUAGCAUUAUAUAAAUAGUAAAGCUUCGGUGGUAUAAGAUGAGUAUGCGUCCUAUUAGUUAGUUGGUGAGGUAACGGCUUACCAAGACAACGAUAGGUAGGGGNCCUGNGAGGGGGAUCCCCCACACUGGUACUGAGACACGGACCAGACUCUACGGGAGGCAGCAGUGAGGAAUAUUGGACAAUGGAGGCAACUCUGAUCCAGCCAUGCCGNGUGCAGGAAGACGGCCUAUGGGUUGUAAACUGCUUUUAUAUAGGAAGAAACCUUUUCACGUGUGAGAAGCUGACGGUACUAUAAGAAUAAGGACCGGCUAACUCCGUGCCAGCAGCCGCGGUAAUACGGAGGGUCCGAGCGUUAUCCGGAAUCAUUGGGUUUAAAGGGUCCGUAGGCGGGAAUCUAAGUCAGUGGUGAAAUCUUGCAGCUCAACUGUAAAAUUGCCAUUGAUACUGGAUUUCUUGAAUUAGUGUGAAGUGGUUAGAAUGUGUAGUGUAGCGGUGAAAUGCAUAGAUAUUACACAGAAUACCAAUUGCGAAGGCAGAUCACUAACACUAUAUUGACGCUGAGGGACGAAAGCGUGGGGAGCGAACAGGAUUAGAUACCCUGGUAGUCCACGCCGUAAACGAUGGUCACUAGCUGUUUGACCAACAUUGGUUGGUUGAGUGGCUAAGCGAAAGUUAUAAGUGACCCACCUGGGGGUACGCUNGCAAGAGUGAAACUCNAAGGAAUUGACGGGGGCCGCACAAGCGGUGGAGCAUGUGGUUUAAUUCGAUGAUACGCGAGGAACCUUACCAGGGCUUAAAUGUAAGUUGCAUGGACCAGAGAUGGACCUUUCUUCGGACUGCUUACAAGGUGCUGCAUGGUUGUCGUCAGCUCGUGCCGUGAGGUGUCAGGUUAAGUCCUAUAACGAGCGCAACCCCUAUCGUUAGUUGCCAGCGGGUCAUGCCGGGAACUCUAACGAGACUGCCGGUGCAAACCGUGAGGAAGGUGGGGAUGACGUCAAAUCAUCACGGNCCUUACGUCCUGGGCCACACACGUGCUACAAUGGCCGGUACAGAGAGCAGCCACUCCGCGAGGAGGAGCGGAUCUUCAAAACCGGUCUCAGUUCGGAUCGCAGUCUGCAACUCGACUGCGUGAAGCUGGAAUCGCUAGUAAUCGGAUAUCAGCCAUGAUCCGGUGAAUACGUUCCCGGGCCUUGUACACACCGCCCGUCAAGCCAUGGAAGCUGGGAGUACCUGAAGUCGGUGAGCGCAAGCAGCUGCCUAG